CUGGGGUUGAUAGUCGAUGGUGGCUGAUGUAUUAACAAUAAUUAUGGGAGUCGACAAGAAGGGUUGACUGGUGCUUGGUUGGUAAGAUUAAAUGGGUCUAACUGUCCGUCUGUUGAUUGAGGAUGAUCUAGCUUGAUGCCGGUCAACUCAGGUGUGAAGCCCCUAUGCCUAGUGGAUAAAGGUUAAUAAACCCCACCUCCCAAUAGUCAUUUACUUUUUGAAAAGUUGGUUAGGACCUACGGUCC
This 245-nucleotide long non-coding RNA is filed under the name Elaeis guineensis (African oil palm). RNAcentral describes it as "long non-coding RNA (EGUI_LNC050462)". The record is from RNAcentral. Lineage: Eukaryota; Viridiplantae; Streptophyta; Magnoliopsida; Arecales; Arecaceae.